RNAcentral lists this ribosomal RNA (468 nucleotides) under uncultured bacterium. Its description in RNAcentral is "partial 16S ribosomal RNA". It matches the Rfam family "Bacterial small subunit ribosomal RNA", at positions 28 to 507 of the family's 1533-position model. The record is from RNAcentral.
GACGAACGCUGGCGGCGUGCUUAACACAUGCAAGUCGAACGGAAAGGCCCUGCUUUUGUGGGGUGCUCGAGUGGCGAACGGGUGAGUAACACGUGAGUAACCUGCCCUUGACUUUGGGAUAACUUCAGGAAACUGGGGCUAAUACCGGAUAGGAGCUCCUGCUGCAUGGUGGGGGUUGGAAAGUUUCGGCGGUUGGGGAUGGACUCGCGGCUUAUCAGCUUGUUGGUGGGGUAGUGGCUUACCAAGGCUUUGACGGGUAGCCGGCCUGAGAGGGUGACCGGCCACAUUGGGACUGAGCUACGGCCCGGACUCCUACGGGAGGCAGCAGUGGGGAAUAUUGCACAAUGGGCGGAAGCCUGAUGCAGCAACGCCGCGUGCGGGAUGACGGCCUUCUGGUUGUAAACCGCUUUCGCCUGUGACGAAGCGUGAGUGACGGUAAUGGGUAAAGAAGCACCGGCUAACUACGUG